RNAcentral lists this ribosomal RNA (253 nucleotides) under uncultured bacterium. RNAcentral's name for it is "partial 16S ribosomal RNA". It matches the Rfam family "Bacterial small subunit ribosomal RNA", at positions 524 to 776 of the family's 1533-position model. The record is from RNAcentral.
UACGAAGGGGGCUAGCGUUGCUCGGAAUCACUGGGCGUAAAGCGCACGUAGGCGGUUUGUUAAGUCAGGGGUGAAAUCCUGGAGCUCAACUCCAGAACUGCCUUUGAUACUGGCGAUCUCGAGUCCGGGAGAGGUGAGUGGAACUGCGAGUGUAGAGGUGAAAUUCGUAGAUAUUCGCAAGAACACCAGUGGCGAAGGCGGCUCACUGGCCCGAUACUGACGCUGAGGAGCGAAAGCAUGGGGAGCGAACAGG